GACUCUCGGCAACAGAUAUCUUGGCUCUCGCAUCGAUGAAGAACGUAGCGAAAUACGAUACCUGGUGUGAAUUGCAGAAUCCCGUGAACCAUCGAGUCUUUGAACGCAAGUUGCGCCCGAGGCCACUCGGCCGAGGGCACGCCUGCCUGGGCGUCA
Molecule: ribosomal RNA, 156 nt
Filed under: Triticum dicoccoides
Lineage: Eukaryota; Viridiplantae; Streptophyta; Magnoliopsida; Poales; Poaceae
Description: rRNA 5_8S_rRNA
Rfam family: 5.8S ribosomal RNA
About the family: 5.8S ribosomal RNA (5.8S rRNA) is a component of the large subunit of the eukaryotic ribosome. It is transcribed by RNA polymerase I as part of the 45S precursor that also contains 18S and 28S rRNA.
Source: RNAcentral